This 237-nucleotide ribosomal RNA is filed under the name Pseudictyota dubia. RNAcentral's name for it is "partial Eukaryotic large subunit ribosomal RNA". It matches the Rfam family "Eukaryotic large subunit ribosomal RNA", at positions 2414 to 2649 of the family's 3401-position model. The record is from RNAcentral. Lineage: Eukaryota; Bacillariophyta; Thalassiosirophyceae; Eupodiscales; Odontellaceae.
UGUUGAGCUUGACUCUAGUCUGACGUUGUGAAAUGACUUGUGAGGUGUAGCAUAGGUGGGAGGCUUUUGCCGAUCUUGAAAUACCACUACUUGCAAUGUUGUUUUACUUAUUCCGUGACGUACAGCCCCCCGGCAGCGAUGUCGGGGGUUCUAGCUGCAAGGCGGGGCCACCCGUUGAUGUACGCGGAAGACAUAGUCAGGUGGGGAGUUUGGCUGGGCGGCACAACUGUUAAACAA